Molecule: ribosomal RNA, 1524 nt
Filed under: Salmonella enterica
Lineage: Bacteria; Pseudomonadati; Pseudomonadota; Gammaproteobacteria; Enterobacterales; Enterobacteriaceae
Description: bacterial SSU rRNA
Rfam family: Bacterial small subunit ribosomal RNA
Source: RNAcentral
AUGGCUCAGAUUGAACGCUGGCGGCAGGCCUAACACAUGCAAGUCGAACGGUAACAGGAAGCAGCUUGCUGCUUCGCUGACGAGUGGCGGACGGGUGAGUAAUGUCUGGGAAACUGCCUGAUGGAGAGGGAUAACUACUGGAAACGGUGGCUAAUACCGCAUAACGUCGCAAGACCAAAGAGGGGGACCUUCGGGCCUCUUGCCAUCAGAUGUGCCCAGAUGGGAUUAGCUAGUUGGUGAGGUAACGGCUCACCAAGGCGACGAUCCCUAGCUGGUCUGAGAGGAUGACCAGCCACACUGGAACUGAGACACGGUCCAGACUCCUACGGGAGGCAGCAGUGGGGAAUAUUGCACAAUGGGCGCAAGCCUGAUGCAGCCAUGCCGCGUGUAUGAAGAAGGCCUUCGGGUUGUAAAGUACUUUCAGCGGGGAGGAAGGUGUUGUGGUUAAUAACCGCAGCAAUUGACGUUACCCGCAGAAGAAGCACCGGCUAACUCCGUGCCAGCAGCCGCGGUAAUACGGAGGGUGCAAGCGUUAAUCGGAAUUACUGGGCGUAAAGCGCACGCAGGCGGUCUGUCAAGUCGGAUGUGAAAUCCCCGGGCUCAACCUGGGAACUGCAUUCGAAACUGGCAGGCUUGAGUCUUGUAGAGGGGGGUAGAAUUCCAGGUGUAGCGGUGAAAUGCGUAGAGAUCUGGAGGAAUACCGGUGGCGAAGGCGGCCCCCUGGACAAAGACUGACGCUCAGGUGCGAAAGCGUGGGGAGCAAACAGGAUUAGAUACCCUGGUAGUCCACGCCGUAAACGAUGUCUACUUGGAGGUUGUGCCCUUGAGGCGUGGCUUCCGGAGCUAACGCGUUAAGUAGACCGCCUGGGGAGUACGGCCGCAAGGUUAAAACUCAAAUGAAUUGACGGGGGCCCGCACAAGCGGUGGAGCAUGUGGUUUAAUUCGAUGCAACGCGAAGAACCUUACCUGGUCUUGACAUCCACAGAAGAAUCCAGAGAUGGAUUUGUGCCUUCGGGAACUGUGAGACAGGUGCUGCAUGGCUGUCGUCAGCUCGUGUUGUGAAAUGUUGGGUUAAGUCCCGCAACGAGCGCAACCCUUAUCCUUUGUUGCCAGCGGUCCGGCCGGGAACUCAAAGGAGACUGCCAGUGAUAAACUGGAGGAAGGUGGGGAUGACGUCAAGUCAUCAUGGCCCUUACGACCAGGGCUACACACGUGCUACAAUGGCGCAUACAAAGAGAAGCGACCUCGCGAGAGCAAGCGGACCUCAUAAAGUGCGUCGUAGUCCGGAUUGGAGUCUGCAACUCGACUCCAUGAAGUCGGAAUCGCUAGUAAUCGUGGAUCAGAAUGCCACGGUGAAUACGUUCCCGGGCCUUGUACACACCGCCCGUCACACCAUGGGAGUGGGUUGCAAAAGAAGUAGGUAGCUUAACCUUCGGGAGGGCGCUUACCACUUUGUGAUUCAUGACUGGGGUGAAGUCGUAACAAGGUAACCGUAGGGGAACCUGCGGUUGGAUCACCUCCUUA